This 559-nucleotide ribosomal RNA is filed under the name uncultured bacterium. RNAcentral's name for it is "bacterial SSU rRNA". It matches the Rfam family "Bacterial small subunit ribosomal RNA", at positions 119 to 674 of the family's 1533-position model. The record is from RNAcentral.
CGGAACGUACCCAGUAGCGGGGGAUAACUACUCGAAAGAGUAGCUAAUACCGCAUACGCCCUUCGGGGGAAAGGGGGGGAUCUUCGGACCUCCCACUAUUGGAGCGGCUGAUAUCGGAUUAGCUAGUUGGUGAGGUAAAGGCUCACCAAGGCGACGAUCCGUAGCUGGUUUGAGAGGACGACCAGCCACACUGGAACUGAGACACGGUCCAGACUCCUACGGGAGGCAGCAGUGGGGAAUUUUGGACAAUGGGGGAAACCCUGAUCCAGCCAUUCCGCGUGUGUGAAGAAGGCCUUCGGGUUGUAAAGCACUUUUGGCGGGAAAGAAACGGCGUCGACUAAUACUCGGCGUAACUGACGGUACCCACAGAAUAAGCACCGGCUAACUACGUGCCAGCAGCCGCGGUAAUACGUAGGGUGCAAGCGUUAAUCGGAAUUACUGGGCGUAAAGCGUGCGCAGGCGGUUCGGAAAGAAAGAUGUGAAAUCCCAGGGCUCAACCUUGGAACUGCAUUUUUAACUACCGGACUAGAGUAUGUCAGAGGGGGGUGGAAUUCCACGU